GUCAUGUGAUCCGUCUAAGCCUAUCAAAAGUUUCCAUUCUUCUGAUUAGAAACCAUCAUGUAACUGGAUACAUGGUUUACAGCAGGCCACUAAUGCUGGAAAAAGUACAGAGUCCAGGGAAAGACCUACUUGUAACUUUCUGAAUUCUUGGAUUUUUUUUUUUUUUUGCAAUUUUUUAAACUUUCACUAAGGGUUACUGUAGACUGAUGUGUCCUACCGAGGACUACAAAAUUUGACAAGCUGUACUUUUUCUUAUGCUCAAUGAUUUCUGCUUUAAGCCAAAGGACCACCUAUAAUUUUACUAAGAAUGUCUUCUAAUUCGGAUACUGGAAAUUUACAAGAUUCCCUAAAGCACAGACUUACACCUAUUGGUGCUGGGCUUCCGGACGGACACGGACCCCCUAUCCCCGCCCGCGGCCGCCUUGUCAUGCUGCCCAAAGUGGAGACGGAAGCCCUGGGACUGGCUCGAUCGCAUGGGGAACAGGGGCAGAUGCCGGAAAACAUGCAAGUGUCUCAGUUUAAAAUGGUGAAUUACUCCUAUGAUGAAGAUCUUGAAGAGCUCUGCCCUGUGUGUGGAGAUAAAGUGUCUGGAUACCACUAUGGGCUCCUCACCUGUGAAAGCUGCAAGGGAUUUUUUAAGCGAACAGUCCAAAAUAAUAAAAGGUACACAUGUAUAGAAAACCAGAACUGCCAAAUUGAUAAAACACAGAGAAAACGUUGUCCUUACUGUCGAUUUCAAAAAUGUCUAAGUGUUGGAAUGAAGCUAGAAGCGGUAAGGGCUGACCGAAUGCGCGGGGGAAGGAAUAAAUUUGGGCCAAUGUACAAGAGAGACAGGGCCCUAAAGCAACAGAAAAAAGCCCUCAUCCGAGCCAAUGGACUUAAGCUAGAAGCCAUGUCUCAGGUGAUUCAAGCAAUGCCCUCUGAGCUCACCAUCUCUUCUGCCAUUCAGAACAUCCAUUCUGCCUCCAAAGGCCUACCUCUGAACCAUGCUGCCUUGCCUCCUACGGACUAUGACAGAAGUCCCUUUGUAACAUCCCCCAUUAGCAUGACAAUGCCACCUCAUGGCAGCCUGCAAGGUUACCAAACAUACAGUCACUUUCCUAGCCGGGCCAUCAAGUCCGAGUACCCAGAUCCCUACACCAGCUCACCAGAGUCGAUAAUGGGCUAUUCCUACAUGGAUAGUUACCAGACAAGCUCCCCGGCAAGCAUCCCACAUCUGAUACUGGAACUUCUGAAGUGUGAGCCAGAUGAGCCUCAAGUCCAGGCUAAAAUCAUGGCCUAUUUGCAGCAAGAACAAGCUAACCGAAGCAAGCACGAAAAGCUGAGCACGUUUGGGCUUAUGUGCAAAAUGGCUGAUCAAACCCUCUUCUCUAUUGUUGAGUGGGCCAGGAGUAGUAUCUUCUUCAGAGAACUUAAGGUUGAUGACCAAAUGAAGCUGCUUCAGAAUUGCUGGAGUGAGCUCUUAAUUCUCGACCACAUUUACCGACAAGUGGUACAUGGAAAGGAAGGAUCCAUCUUCCUGGUUACUGGGCAACAAGUGGAUUAUUCCAUAAUAGCGUCCCAAGCCGGGGCCACCCUCAACAAUCUCAUGAGUCAUGCACAGGAGUUAGUGGUAAAGCUUCGCUCUCUACAGUUUGAUCAACGAGAGUUUGUGUGUCUGAAAUUCUUGGUGCUCUUUAGUUUAGAUGUCAAAAACCUUGAGAACUUCCAGCUGGUAGAAGGUGUCCAGGAACAAGUCAAUGCCGCCCUGCUGGACUAUACUAUGUGCAACUACCCACAGCAAACAGAGAAAUUCGGGCAGCUACUUCUUCGACUACCCGAAAUCCGGGCCAUCAGCAUGCAGGCUGAAGAAUACCUCUACUAUAAGCACCUGAACGGGGAUGUGCCCUAUAAUAACCUCCUUAUUGAAAUGUUGCAUGCAAAAAGAGCUUAGGUUCCAACCCCUAAAAGCUCUGCUUUCAAAACAAAAAGAGACUGGUGGGGGGAGAAAAGAAGAACAGGAAGAAAAGGAAAAAAAAAAAAAAAAAAAAAACUCUGAACUGCUCCAAGCAACACUAAUUAAAAACUUGGUUUAAAGAUUUUGAGUUUAAAAAGGCAUACUAAUCAAAUACUUAAUAGCAAAUAAAUGAUGUAUCAGGGUAUUUGUAUUGCAAACUGUGAAUCAAAGGCUUCACAUCCCCAAAGGAUUCCAUAUAAAAGACAUUGUAACGGAGUGGACUGAACUCACAGAUGGAUACCAACCCCAUAUCGGAAUAAAAAUGGACAGGACAGUUCUUGUAUAUUUAAACUGAUCUCCGCUGUGAAGAAAUUUAGGAACUGAUCUGUGUUAUUAAUUAGGCUUAUACAGCAGGGGAUUUGAGCUUACAGAAUGCCUCCGUGGUAAAGCCGAACUAAAACAACUCAAAACAUCCAUCGGCUGCACCUGUAAAAGCCCUUCCGUCUUCCUUUCAAGGACCCAGCACCUUCCGCCCCAUGAUCACGGAAUCUGUCCUUGCGGAUUUGUGCUCAGCCACACCCACUAGUAGCUCCAGCAAAUCAUGAAAAGCCUAAUUUUGAAUGUCUGUGUCUUAGACCAGCAAACAGCUAAUAAGAACAGUCUACAAUAUGUUAGCUUGCCAUUUGAAAUAUGUUCUGGUUUGUUUUGUCAUGUGUUCAUGUUAAAAAAAAAAAAAAAAAAAGCAGACAGUAUCCCUCUUCUGAUGUUAUAUAAGCAUUAAUUAAUAUUAAGGGAAAGGACUACAAAUUUAAAGCAAAUGCUCCAUAGCUAAAGCAAGCUAGACCUUAUUUCUGCUAUUGUUACUGAAAUGUGGCUUUGGCAUUGUCGGAUUCCAUAAAAAUUUCUUGCCAAAAGGCUUGUUAGGGUACAUCCAUCUUUUGAACCAUCAAAGUUUGUAGUUCAUUUGAAAAUAAAACCUGAAACACAUCUUACUGGGAUGUCAAAUAGUCACAGUGCUAAGUGGUUUAAAAUAAAACCGAAGCAUGUUAAGCUAUUCAAAAAGAAAGAAAAAGGUGAGCUAAUAAAUUGCCUCAAAUCUCCUGCUUGUUGCAGUUGAACAUCCCCUAAACGUAGAAUGGCAACAGUGAUUCGAAUCUACACAUGGACUGGAAAGAUACUAAAGCAAUUCCAAUCUUCCCCAAAAGGGAAAGGAAGAGAGUGAUACUGACCUUUCUGAGUCAUAGACCAAAGUCUGCUCUAGAACAAAUAUUGAAGGACAAAGAAUUGCAAAACAAACUCUCCAAACAACGAUAGCAGUAUUAUUGACAUGUAAUGCCACAGGUAUGGAAGUCUUGCCUUAUUUCACAAUUCUGAGAGGUAGCUGUGCAGAUGUGGAUCAACAUUUGUCUAAAAUAAAGUAUUAAUACUUUCAAGUCAAAUAAAAGAUAGUGUUUACAUUCUUUAGGUCCUGUGGGGGGAGGGGGGGAAACUGUGAUAUUACAAAAUAGCUAAAGCAGUAAUUUCCUUAAUGUUAUUUUUCUGAUUGGUAAUUAUUUUUAACAGUACUUAAUUAUUGUAUGUCGUGAGACACUAAAAUCAACAACGGGAAUCUCAUUUAGACUUUGAUUUUUUUGAGAUUAUCAGCGGCACAAUCACUUGUAAAAACUGUAAAAACUAAAAGUAUCUCCUAGUCCCUUAAUUUUUUCAUAAAUGUUUCAGGCUUUUGAAUAGUUUAUUUAUAUUGUAUAUCAUAGUUUCAACUGUAGACAAUUAUGAUGCUAAUUUAUUGUUCCUUGGUUUCACCUUUGUAUAAGAUAUAGCCAAGACUGAAGAAACCAAAUAUAUGUGUUUACUGUAGCAUGUCUUCAAGUUAGCAGAACAUAGUUCAGGGACAGAGAAGGGUCUUAAUGAAUUAAAAUCAUUCACUUGAUUAAAUGUCUGUAAAUCUUCAUAAUUCUUACUGUAGUUUAUUUAAUAUCUAUUGUAAAUUAUGUGACUUGUAGUUUCCUCUGUUUUCAAGUAAAUUUAACAAGGGUAGAGUCUUCCCUGGUUUCCUUUACAAGCGUUGUAAGUUGUAUACCAAAGAUAUUAGUUACUACUUCUGUGUGUACAAAAAGGAUUAUUUUAUUAUUUUUUUAAUCACCUCUAAUAUUCGUCCACGUGAAGGGUACACAUUUGCUAAGCUGAAUGUCCACAGCUCCUCAUGCAAAGCCUCAGUCACCUGUCAUCACAGCUCAAAGGACAAUGAAAAACAGCUGAUCAGAGUCAAUGUCCAAAGCAUUAAAUAGACUGGCAGCAUCCUUACUCUCCCCAUUUAAAAACCAAGUUGGCUAAGAAGACAUGUGGAGAGGAAUGGGUGUUGUUAACAGUUGCUGAAAUGGUUGCAUCCUGGUUGUGGAACAUGGGUGGCGGCAAUCAUGAGACUGGUGGGAUCUGCAGCUACCUUGGACCUGAAUCCAUGCAAUGUUUAGAGUGUGAAGUCGGUUACUUGUUGGCGUUUUCUUACUGUAUCAGUGAAAUACAUAUUGUCAUGUCAGUUCUUGCCAGGAGUUUCUCGACAAAAUGGAUUUUUUUUUCAGUAUUUCAAUAAAUAUUGAUAUGCCCAGCCUGAUAAUUUUUUAAAAGUUUUUAUGCUGUCCUCAUUCUGUUAGAUACUAAAGCUUCUAAGUAAUUAAGAUACCUGACUAGGAAUGG
RNA transcript from Zalophus californianus (California sea lion), 4630 nucleotides. It is a transcript of the gene named nuclear receptor subfamily 5 group A member 2, with no coding region annotated. Lineage: Eukaryota; Metazoa; Chordata; Mammalia; Carnivora; Otariidae. The transcript has 9 exons. The record is from RefSeq and is a predicted model, not a curated record.